This 498-nucleotide ribosomal RNA is filed under the name uncultured bacterium. RNAcentral's name for it is "partial 16S ribosomal RNA". It matches the Rfam family "Bacterial small subunit ribosomal RNA", at positions 30 to 523 of the family's 1533-position model. The record is from RNAcentral.
AUUGAACGCUGGCGGCAUGCCUUACACAUGCAAGUCGAACGGUAACAGGUCUUCGGAUGCUGACGAGUGGCGAACGGGUGAGUAAUACAUCGGAACGUGCCUAGUAGUGGGGGAUAACUACUCGAAAGAGUGGCUAAUACCGCAUGAGAUCUACGGAUGAAAGCAGGGGAUUGCAAGACCUUGUGCUACUAGAGCGGCCGAUGGCAGAUUAGGUAGUUGGUGGGAUAAAAGCUUACCAAGCCGACGAUCUGUAGCUGGUCUGAGAGGACGAUCAGCCACACUGGGACUGAGACACGGCCCAGACUCCUACGGGAGGCAGCAGUGGGGAAUUUUGGACAAUGGGCGCAAGCCUGAGCCAGCAAUGCCGCGUGCAGGAUGAAGGCCUUCGGGUUGUAAACUGCUUUUGUACGGAACGAAAAGCCCUGGGUUAAUACCCUGGGGUCAUGACGGUACCGUAAGAAUAAGCACCGGCUAACUACGUGCCAGCCGCCGCCGUAA